UACAGAGGGUGCGAGCGUUAAUCGGAAUUACUGGGCGUAAAGAGCGCGCAGGCGGUCGUUCAAGUCGCGUGUGAAAGCCCCCGGCUCAACUGGGAGGGUCACGCGAUACUGAUCGACUCGAAGGCAGGAGAGGGAAGUGGAAAUUCCCGGUGUAGUGGUGAAAUGCGUAGAUAUCGGGAGGAACACCAGUGGCGAAGGCGAACUUCCUGGCCUGUUCUUGACGCUGAGGCGCGAAAGCUAGGGGAGCAAACGGG
This 254-nucleotide ribosomal RNA is filed under the name uncultured bacterium. RNAcentral's name for it is "partial 16S ribosomal RNA". It matches the Rfam family "Bacterial small subunit ribosomal RNA", at positions 524 to 776 of the family's 1533-position model. The record is from RNAcentral.